GUAUAAGGGACAGCAGCAGCCGCGGGAAUACGGAGGGUGCAAGCGUUAAUCGGAAUUACUGGGCGUAAAGCGCACGCAGGCGGUCUGACAAGUCAGAUGUGAAAUCCCCGGGCUUAACCUGGGAACUGCAUUUGAAACUGUCAGGCUGGAGUCUUGUAGAGGGGGGUGGAAUUCCAGGUGUAGCGGUGAAAUGCGUAGAGAUCUGGAGGAAUACCGGUGGCGAAGGCGGCCCCCUGGACAAAGACUGACGCUCAGGUGCGAAAGCGUGGGGAGCAAACAGGAUUAGAUACCCCUGUAGUCCCUGUCUCUUAUAC
This 314-nucleotide ribosomal RNA is filed under the name uncultured bacterium. RNAcentral's name for it is "partial 16S ribosomal RNA". It matches the Rfam family "Bacterial small subunit ribosomal RNA", at positions 495 to 807 of the family's 1533-position model. The record is from RNAcentral.